AAUAAACCGAUAGAUCAACCAUGCCGUCUUGCAAACGGACCACAAGUGUUCCGUGCUUGGUAGCUGUGAUGGUCAUGGUGGUGGUUACAGUGAUGCUGUCUUGCGAUGCCUACAGUCGGUGCAUAUAUAAACGAUCAAGUCUUAAAUCUCUUAUAUGUAUUUUUAUUGUGUGCUAAUACUUUUUUUUUUCCAUUGUUUGUAGCUUUUUGCGAUGACAUUAUUGGAAAAUGCACCAUGGUGAACUGCAAGGCUCUAUGCAUUAAACAGGGUUUCGGGAAAGAACGUAUCCAUUGCGCAACUGAAGAUAAAUGUUGUUGUGAUUAUGGCCCGAAGUCUAAGCUCAUGGUCAACAUUGUAGACCGCGAUUGAUGGUAUAUUGCAUAUGUUGACAAUAAUAAAUAAAGUACAAAAAAUGUAUUACUACCUCCUUUCCGGUUUAUAAGGGUUGCGAAUAUAUCUACGUUGCCAAAUAAACCAAUAUAAUAGAAAUUAUAUAUCACAAACAAUAUAUCAUUAAAAAUUUCAGAUCAUAUAAUUGUAUAAUGGUAUAAUCUCGAGACUAUACAACUCAUUUUGUGUUGGUUAAAUUAUAUAUCUAGGGAUACGUGGAAGGCUUAUAAACCAGAAAAGUGGUAGUAUUAGAUGACUCUGGUACGUGACAGAUGAUAUGUAUAUUAUGUAUUCAUCUAUGCACAUUCUGCAUGA
RNAcentral lists this long non-coding RNA (705 nucleotides) under Hordeum vulgare. Its description in RNAcentral is "long non-coding RNA (HVUL_LNC000161)". Lineage: Eukaryota; Viridiplantae; Streptophyta; Magnoliopsida; Poales; Poaceae. The record is from RNAcentral.